GCGCGGGUGGUGAAAUGGCAUACACGCUACCUUGAGGUGGUAGUGCCGAAAGGCGUGCAGGUUCGACUCCUGUCCCGCGCA
This 81-nucleotide transfer RNA is filed under the name Candidatus Staskawiczbacteria bacterium. RNAcentral describes it as "tRNA-Leu". It matches the Rfam family "tRNA". Rfam says of the family: Transfer RNA (tRNA) molecules are approximately 80 nucleotides in length. Their secondary structure includes four short double-helical elements and three loops (D, anti-codon, and T loops). Lineage: Bacteria; Candidatus Staskawicziibacteriota. The record is from RNAcentral.